Non-coding RNA from Vicugna pacos (alpaca), 1873 nucleotides. NCBI's taxonomy places the organism in Eukaryota, Metazoa, Chordata, Mammalia, Artiodactyla, Camelidae. The record is from RefSeq and is a predicted model, not a curated record.
GAGAAGGUGGAGGAGAAAGGGGAUUCCAAUAUGGCACCAUGUUUGUGAUUUUGACCCCGAUGCAGAUGGUGAUUCCAUUCACUGAGAAGAAGGGAACGCAGGGAGGGCUGGAAGUUUGGUGGAAGGAGGGAGAGAAGACAGUGAACUCUGUUUUGGACAGACUUGCUGAGAUUGGGGGUGGAGGUUUCCACUAGGCAGCCGGGUGUGUGGAACUCCAGUAGGCUGGAAUGAAGCUAUAGCAACAAAUGAGAGCCCUGCUGGAGAGUGUCUGACAUCACAGGGUCCAGAACUGAAGCUGGCAUGGAGGAAUAUGUUUAAGGGAGGGUCAGCGGAAGAAAAGCCUGUCACUCAAAGAGUUGUUAAAUGACACCACAAAAGACAUAAUAAGCAAAACCCACAAAAUGUUAAACUCUUUUAGUUGGGAUUCAGCCAAAAUGACCACCCUCUGUUAAUGCAGAAUUUCUGUUUACAGGCCAGGUUGGCACUUGCUGGUUUCUGAAGAGGAAAAUGCAGCGCGCAGCCACGGUGAAAGGCUCCGAAAUGGUUUCACGGAGACGACGACCCGGCCGCCCUGCCUCUCGCAGCGCGCUCACCCUACGGCCGCCGACCACGGGGCUGCUGCUUGAGUGUGAGUAUAUCAGGAUGAUGCGGCUGCAAGUAACAAAGAAUCAAACAAGAGUGGCGUAAACAAAGAAGAAAAUUUAUUAUCUCAUACUACAAGAAGUUUGGGGGUUGAGUGGUUAAAAGGGUUGAUUAAUUUAGCAACUUAACAGUAACAUCUGGGACCCAUUUUCCCUAUGGUAGCUACCGGCCCUCAUCCUUCAGGCUGAGAGAUCACUGCAUCACUGCAGCAAAGAUUUUCCCGCACAGCAGAGUUUCAGGACUGGAGAGGGGGCCUCCUUCCUUCUAUCCCUUUCUGGAAGUUCUGCAGAAGACUUCCCUUCAUGUCACAUUCCAUUCCUAUACUGGUCACUAAUAGCGGAAUGGAUUUACCAUGCUGGCUAUUAAUUAAGAGUCACCCUAAGACCAUAAAGAGGCCCAGUCUCUGGAGAGCAUUCUGCUGCUCAGUACCAAGCAAACCUGGUACCCCGGCAAGGAAAAGGCGGAUGGUAUCUACUGGGUUCGACAGCAGUGUCUGCCACGAGCAGCAUGUCCUUCUGGGGAGAACCAUGGGGGUGCUGUGUGGUUCUGUGUCUUCUCUGUCUUCUGCCUUUGUCUUUCCAAUUAGGUAAGAGUCAUCCUUGUUCCUCUUUGUGGCUUUCCUCCUUGCCAGCAUAACCCAAGUUUUGUGCGGAUACAAGGGGCAAUAUGCUAAAAGAGGAUGUCCAAGGCCUUGGUGAUAAACUAGCCACGGGUCUAACAGUCAAGGUCAUCCCAACUCCAUCUGCCAAUGAACGGUUUUGGAAUGUCCAUGUCACCCCGCUCUGGUCGCUGAGAUGGAAGACAAGUUCUCUGGAGGGGUUUCUGGGAAAGGUUUUUCCCCCUGGUCAAACGGGAGAUGAACAAGAGGUCUGCUACCCAACGUGCUUUCUGCCUUUGAGCAGCCGCCUUGUCACAGCCUUGAGUGGAAACACUCCUCAUAAACAGGACGGCAGAGCAGAGAGGCAGAAAGGGCCUGAGUCUUAUGGAUGCUACCAGCAGUUGAAUCUACGCGAGGACUGCUUACCUUCAGACUUCUCCUUAGGAAAGAGAGCAAGAAACCCCAUUUGUUGAAGCCAUUUGUAGGUGGCUGUUGCUACCUGCUUCCUGAUGGGUAAUCUUUCUAGGAACAUAACUCCCAAAACCCUUUAUUGUGAUACACAUAUUUGUAAACUUUUCUUUCUUUUCCUUCUCUUUUUAAAAAAAAAUAGCUGAAGUCUGCCUUAGGCAAAAA